CAUUAAGAAGCUAUGUAACAGCACUAGCCUUUUAAGCUAGAGAAAGAGGACACACCUUACUCCUCCUUAAUGA
RNAcentral lists this transfer RNA (73 nucleotides) under Threskiornis aethiopicus (Sacred ibis). RNAcentral describes it as "tRNA-Lys". The record is from RNAcentral. Lineage: Eukaryota; Metazoa; Chordata; Aves; Pelecaniformes; Threskiornithidae.